AAAUUGUUUGGAAAACAAGCCUUGGAGAGGAAGAGCAGUUGGGCAGGUGGCCUUAGAAGCAGAGACAGACGUCCCUGUUGAUACCACUGUUGAUGGAGAAGCACUCGGCUCUCCUCCAUCAGGGGAAACCAAACCUGCCACCCCACCUGGGAUGUGGCCUCCCCAGGGAAAGAGUAGAGAGGCUGGAGCUCUGGCAGAACAGGCCUGGCAAGGGGGCUGGAGGCCAAGGCUGGUGUUGGGGCUCAGAUCAAAGCCAUCAUGCUGCAUGGAGCCCAAUCAGCUGCCAACACUCUUGGUGACACAGAGCCCUCACGCCUCUGGUGGAAGAAGCCAGGGCUGGAUGAAGCUGUGGCGUGCAGCUUCUGCACAGUCUCCGUGGAAUCUCUCCUACUCUCCCGUGAGCCUUUGGAGGCCUUGCAGGAGCUCAGCCUUUCAGCAGAAGGACUGGGUUCAACCGCCCCUGCAGGAGCAGCUCCUUGGCCUCCCAGGCACCAGUGGUUGGGGGCUGCAUCCUCUGUGAGCCUCAGGUCAAGCCCAUACAGUGCCCUAGACUCCUCCCUGCUCUGACCCUGGGCCCAGGAGAAAGGCCGAGCACCUGGCCCUCUGGAGACAAGGACAUGGCCAUUCCUCAGAGGUCCUUCCCCUGACAAGCUGGGCCCCCUGUUGUGGGGCGCACCACUGGACAUGGUAGGGGAGUGGUGGCGGCCUUGCCCGAAGGCAGGCUGCGGGAGGGGCGGGGCUGGCUCACCACAGUUGGUUGAUUCAAGUGAGGCCUGGGGUCCUGCUCUCCUUCCAGCUUCCAUCUCAGGAUGGCUCUCAGCCCCCCACAUUGAAGACCAAGAAGGUGAGGGGCAAACCAAGGGCCCUGCCUAUGGAAGCUUCCUGUGAUGGGCUGCAGGUAGCAGGGGCUGGAGAGGGCUGUGGUUGGGGCCACACCAGGCUCCCCCAACCUGAGCAUCCUGGAAGGUGACAGCUCACCCUUGGCAGUGGCAACCCCCAGGCCAGCAGCCCCAUCUGAGGACAGUUGUCUUCAGUGCCAUUGGCUGUGGCAGCACAGAUGGGGGGUGUGAAGACCUGAGGCCCUGCGACUGUAGCACCUACAGCCACUGGAGCCAGCUCUGCACAACUCAGACCUGGGUGGCGAGGACAUAGCUUUGCAGGUGGGCAGCCACAUCCCAGGGGGAGCCUGCAGGCCAGUGGCAGGGUGGGGGCAGGCAGAGCAGGGUCUCCCCACUGUUGCCGCUGGGCUCCUGCGGCUUGUGGAGAAAGAUGGGUGGGCCCACACAUAUUGCUGCUCCCUGGAUCUGAGCCUCGGUUUCCCUACCUGUGAAACGGGUACCCAUGGCAGCUCAGAAGUGUCUGGCAGUGGGGCUGCUGGGGCACAGUCAUGGGGGACCCGAGUCCUGCUCUCCAUGUGCUCGCUUCCCUCAGUGGUCCCUGAUGCCAGCAGAACUUUCUCCCAAAAAGAGAAGGGCGUUCCUGUGAGUUCUUGUGUGGGGGGUGGGUCACAGAGCCUCUCCAAGUGCAGGGCAGGGUGAAGGGAGGCUGAGGGGUGGUUGAAUGGCCCUGGGAAGAGCUCUCUUGGGCUCCUCGUGUCUGGGUGGCCUGGGGAGCAUGCUUUUGGGCAGGCGGCUGGCAGGGCUGGUGGCUGAGCCACUGUGGCUCAGGAUCCCCAGCCCAGGCCUGAAUAGGGUAGGCAGGGAGAGGGGAGGGUGAGUGCAUGGUGCAGGACAGUGUGUCUCCUGGACAGAAACAGCCCUGGUCACUCACGGCCAUGGCAUAGCCAUGGCUACAGGAAAGUGCUGCUGUGUGUUGCAGCCCCUGGGGCCGGCUCCCAAUGGACACCCAGCAGCAUCUCCCCCACUGUGCUGAGGGGAGUUGUGCCAGUGGGGUGCUGGCAGCAGUCCUGGGAACUGGGGGAAGAGCCUUGGCAAGCCCAUCCCUCCUCGGGCAUCAGGGAUGGGCUCACGUGACCAAUUUCUCCCAUGGAAGAUGUUUGGGGUGUGCCCAGAAAAUGGGGAGGGCCCUGUGGGGCAGGAUUGUAUUAUUAAAUCCAGAAAGUCUGGGGUUCCAUUUUUAGCACAAGGCAGGCAGCCCACGUGCCCCAGCCCAGUGGCCAGCCUGUGUGGGAGAGGGGAGUGGGGGCCAGAGGGAGUGAGGCUUCUGUUACUGCAGCCAGCCAGGGUGGCCAGUGUGGACUGGACAGCGGGCACUGCACCAGGGGCACUGGUACUGACCUUGGGCCAUGCACCUGAUGCCUGUGAGAGUGAUCUCUAGGAACCACUGCACAAGGGGGCAGAUGAGGGAACCCUGACAUGGGACAGCUGAGGGUUACGCCAACACGGGGGGGAAAGCUGUGUCCAGGCUCCACCGGACUCCGCCGAGGACAGAGCACUGCCCUGACUCUAGGGUGCGGGGUCACUGAGGGUUAGGACAGUCUGGAGUUGGGAGAGGGCCAUGCUGCAGCUGGGGCACAUCCCACCUGCACCUCUCUAGAUCUUGGAGAUGGGACCCCCACCCACAUGCUCCCCAGGUGGGUCCCAUCCUGGGGGGUGCAGGAGGGAGCUCCAUGUGCCCCUGCUGAUCUGCCCAUCUGAGCCUCAGGGGUCCUGGGCACUGAGAGCUGGGCUGGGCUCAGCGGGGGUAUGCAUUGACAUUGGGGACAGAGAGGGGAUGCUGAAGCGGGUGCUGUCUGGGUGGGGCCUGCCUGAUCGACCCAGCAGGUGCACCCAGCAGCCGGAGGUGCUUCUAGCAGAGUGAACGCCCUGUCCUUAGGGGCAUGUGAGCUGAGGCUGGGGGCCUGGAGCUGCAGGGGGAGGAAUUGGGGAGAGCAGAGGUCCCAAAGAUGUCCCAAGGCCCCAAGACCCUGGUGAAGGAAUGGAGGAGCCAGCAUUGGUCGGCGAGAGGGGAGUGGGAGUUGGAUGGCCUGGCUCUGGGCUGGACACACGGUUUGCAGCCACAGCUGAGCUGUGCUGUGGAGCCCAGUUCCCACCUGGGCAUGUCCUGUCCUCUGAGGCUUCCGGGAGCCGGACGGCCACCGCGGUGCAGGCGCGCACUCAAGGGCUUUCGAGGCUCACUCUGUCGGAGAGGUCAGAGACUGAGUGUCGCUGCUGAAGGCUGUGGUGGACCGGGCUGGAUCGCGGAUUCUAGGUUAGAUCGCAGAUUUGGGAUCGCGGAUUGGGGAUUGGAUUGGGGAUUUGGGGUUGGAUCAGGGAUGUGGGGGCUGGAUAGGGGAUUUGAGGAUUGGAUCGGGGAUUUGGGGUUGGAUCCUGGAUUUGGGGCCGGGUCGGCGGUGGGGGGCAGUGAAAAGGUGACAGAGAGCAGCCCCUGCUCAGGAGCCGGUGGUUGGGGGUCUGAGAAGUCACCACCACCAAGAAGUUCUUCGGCUUCGGGAGCCGCGGGGGCGAGAUGGCCCGGGCUCCAUAGACCACGUCUGCACGGUUCCGGGUACCGAAUCCGGGACGCGGAACAGCGGAAAAUCCAAGGGCGGCUGUCAAGGACCGGAGGUGGAGCGCGGCCUGGAGCGCAGGAGCCGGAGACCUGGAGGCCCGGGACAAGCAGCACAGAACUGCUCUACAUUUGGCCUGUGCCAGCGGCCAUGUGGAAGUGGUCACUCUCCUGGUGAACAGACAAUGCCAAAUUGACAUCUGUGACAAAGAAAAGAGUGUGCCUUUGAUACAGGCACAGGCUGUGCAUUGCCAAGAAGAGGCUUGUGCCAUUAUUCUGCUGGAACGUGGCGCCAAUCCAAACCUUAAGGAUGUCUACAGCAACACUGCUCUCCAGUAUGCUGUGUAUAGUGAGAGCACAUCACUGGCAAAAAAACUGCUUUCCCAUGAUGCAAAUACUGAAGCACUGGACAAGGAUCUCACUCUGUCACUCAGGCUGGAAUAAAGUGGCACAACUGUGGCUCACUGCAGCCUCAACCCCCUGAGCUCAGGUCAUCCUGCUACCUCAGCCUCUUCAGUUGCUGAGACUAUAGGCUCCCACCUCCACUCCUAGCCUCAGAUGGAGUCUCACUCUGUCGCCAGGCUGGAGUGCAGCGGCAUGAUCUCGGCUCGCUGCAAACCUCUGUCUCCCGAGUUCACGUGAUUCUCCUACCUCAGCCUCCCGAGUAGCUGGGACUACAGGCGUACGCCACAACGCCAGGCUAAUUUUUUUUUAUUUUUGGUAGAGACGGGGGUUUCACCAUGUUGGCCAGGAUGGUCUCAAUCUCUUGACCUCGUAAUCUGCCUACCUUGGCCUCCCAAAGUGCUGUGAUUACAGGCGUGAGCCACCGUGCCCAGCCCGACAUAGAUGGUUUUUUUAGGGUUACAGCGACUUCUUGUUGAAGUUGUCUCACACACCUGAUAAAGUAUUUUUGUUACUGAUUUUGUAAAUCACCUUAUUAUUAAAUUUUCAAUAAUAUCUAACUCUAACAUACACUUGGAAAAAUAUCACCUCAUACACAAUUCACCUUCUUUUCCUCAUGUGUACAUAUUCCUAUUUAUUACUGAAUCCAGUUAAGGACACAGCAGGUGUUAUCUUCCUGCCAAAUAGAUAUUCUGUUACUAGACGACAGUUUUAGCCCACCAUUCAGUCAUCUGCUGAUAAUUCGGCGAUGCUUAACAACCUGCUGAAGUCUCAAGAAAGCAGUGGAUAUGUGAGUGAGGCUGGCAGUGGUCAAUUCUACACUGAGGAACGUUUCCCUCUUUUUCCUCUUUUUUUAUUAGGAGCUCAAAUCAACCUCAGGGGUCCUCAGUUAUUCACUUGCCUGUCCAAAUCUUUCCAAUAGAUUCCUGUCUCAGAAUAAAAGAAAAAUUCCAAUGGCUUUUAAGGCCCUGUAGGUAACCUCCUGACCUCAGCUGCUAUGAGUCUCUCUCCUACUUAUGGCAUUUCUACUAUAUGUGAAUCCCACCUCCCCUCAUUUGUCUGAAAAUGAGGAUCCAAUGCCAGACUAAAAGGUCACAGAUAACUACACUUAUCAUUGCUGGACAAAGCUCUAUCCAAAUGAUGGUCAGUGAGCCUUCAAAUAAAAAUUAUAAGCAAAUUAUAUGUAAUAAUAGUAAAUUAUGUAUACCAGUGGGAAAAAUAAAUCAAAUAUGGUUUUGGUAAAAUUC
RNAcentral lists this long non-coding RNA (5096 nucleotides) under Homo sapiens (human). RNAcentral describes it as "non-protein coding lnc-C1QTNF9B-1:3". Lineage: Eukaryota; Metazoa; Chordata; Mammalia; Primates; Hominidae. The record is from RNAcentral.